This is a non-coding RNA of Vigna umbellata (rice bean), 323 nucleotides long. The record is from RefSeq and is a predicted model, not a curated record. Lineage: Eukaryota; Viridiplantae; Streptophyta; Magnoliopsida; Fabales; Fabaceae.
UUAGAUGUGAUGAUGGUGGAGAGGUGAAAGAAGGAUUGUAUAUUUGCAUGAGAAGAUUGAUACCAGAUAUGGCAGAAAGAAGAAAAAUACAUUUACAAAUUGUUGAAUUUCAUUAUGCUAGAAGACUUUUUGGAAUGGAAGAUGCAAAAGAGUGUAGGAAAGAGUUAAAUCCUGGGGAAUGGUGGGACAUGUUUGGUGAUGGAACUCCAGAGUUGAAGAGAUUUGCUAUUCGAAUUCUAAGCUUGACUUGUAGUUCUUCUGGAUGUGAGCGUAAUUAGAGCUCAUUUGAAAUGGUUCAUACAAAGAGAAGGAAUUGUUUGCAU